Molecule: transfer RNA, 73 nt
Filed under: Fasciola hepatica (liver fluke)
Lineage: Eukaryota; Metazoa; Platyhelminthes; Trematoda; Plagiorchiida; Fasciolidae
Description: tRNA-Thr
Source: RNAcentral
ACCGCGGUAGCUCAGUAGGUGGAGCAUCUGCCCUGUUCGCUGGGUGUCGCCUGUUCGGUUCCGGCUCGCGGUG